GACGAGCCGUGCGAACGUUGUUCGGAAUCACUGGGCUUAAAGGGCGCGUAGGCGGAUCAUCAAGUCCGGGGUGAAAUCUUUCGGCUUAACCGGAAAAUAGCCUUGGAUACUGGUGGUCUCGAGUGAGGUAGGGGCCGUUGGAACUUCCGGUGGAGCGGUGAAAUGCGUUGAUAUCGGAAGGAACGCCGGUGGCGAAAGCGAACGGCUGGACCUCUUCUGACGCUGAGGCGCGAAAGCCAGGGGAGCAAACGGG
This 253-nucleotide ribosomal RNA is filed under the name uncultured bacterium. Its description in RNAcentral is "partial 16S ribosomal RNA". It matches the Rfam family "Bacterial small subunit ribosomal RNA", at positions 524 to 776 of the family's 1533-position model. The record is from RNAcentral.